This 635-nucleotide long non-coding RNA is filed under the name Linum usitatissimum (flax). RNAcentral describes it as "long non-coding RNA (LUSI_LNC005496)". The record is from RNAcentral. Lineage: Eukaryota; Viridiplantae; Streptophyta; Magnoliopsida; Malpighiales; Linaceae.
AGAAACAGUGGUCGAUGAGAUGAAUACAGUUGGCGAGAGAAGGUUUGAGGAUCCUACUAUGGUUGGGCUUUACCAGAGGGUACAUACAAAUAAUGGAUCCUAUAAUUAGUCAUUGGAGCAAAGCAGAGUUCUUCAUUGCACUUUCUAAAGCUUUCAACUUGAUUCACUGAAACGACCUAACAAUCCUCCGCCAGUGAGAUAACAAACUGAUAAGAAAUUCCCACGAUUAGUAUGCAUUUUUAUGUUAAGGAAGCAAGACGAUAUCCUAUAUCCUCAUGUACAACCAAAUCGGAGACAGUUCGACGAAUCAAAUGUAGCAAUCUACACAGCCAAAGGGCAUUUCUUAGUUCAUUGGAUGAACGUAGCUCACCUCCAAUUCUCUUACAGUCACAUUGCCUCGGCUAAAUGUUGUUGCGGCACUGAGAAUUCAGGAUAGAGCAUGAACGAUGAAUUGGAGAAGAAGAACAGAGCUUCGAAGGGGAAUAGUGGCGGACGGAGUGGAAGAACAUGGGCGGAGGAACGGGGAUGGCUGGACCGAGGAACGGCGCCGGCUGAAAUCACCGACAGCCGCCGCGAAAUUUAAUUUGAAACGGAGGGGACGGAGUUUUGAAAAAAGAUAGAUGAGAAGACUCUUU